This 490-nucleotide ribosomal RNA is filed under the name uncultured bacterium. Its description in RNAcentral is "partial 16S ribosomal RNA". It matches the Rfam family "Bacterial small subunit ribosomal RNA", at positions 30 to 507 of the family's 1533-position model. The record is from RNAcentral.
AUUGAACGCUGGCGACAUGCCUUACACAUGCAAGUCGAACGGCAGCAUGAUCUAGCUUGCUAGAUUGAUGGCGAGUGGCGAACGGGUGAGUAAUACAUCGGAACGUGCCCUGUAGUGGGGGAUAACUAGUCGAAAGAUUAGCUAAUACCGCAUACGACCUGAGGGUGAAAGUGGGGGACCGCAAGGCCUCAUGCUAUAGGAGCGGCCGAUGUCUGAUUAGCUAGUUGGUGAGGUAAAGGCUCACCAAGGCGACGAUCAGUAGCUGGUCUGAGAGGACGAUCAGCCACACUGGGACUGAGACACGGCCCAGACUCCUACGGGAGGCAGCAGUGGGGAAUUUUGGACAAUGGGCGAAAGCCUGAUCCAGCAAUGCCGCGUGUGUGAAGAAGGCCUUCGGGUUGUAAAGCACUUUUGUCCGGAAAGAAAUGGCUCUGGUUAAUACCUGGGGUCGAUGACGGUACCGGAAGAAUAAGGACCGGCUAACUACGUG